GAUCCCCAGGUUGUGGGUGUGGGAAGGGAAAGAAUAUGGAUAGGUUUGAGGUAAUUUCCCCAGCCAGAGUGAGUUCAAUUAUUCAUGCUGGUGAAACAAGGGGUAGUAAAGGCUUUUUGCCAGCCUGAAUGGGUUCCCAGGAGAAGGACAUAGAUGAAACCUUCAGCAACUUCUGUGACCUUUAGUCUGGCUUCAUUGUUAGGUGCAUGGAGGCAUUGUUAGGGGAUUAUGCCUGCUACCUGAAGGGGUGAUGGGGCUUUCCUAUGUUCCCCCUGUUGAGUGCUUGUGACACUUGUAUUUCCGGGUAAAAGACAUCUGUGGGGGUUAACUCAAAUUAGAUUUCUGGGUAAAAGGUUGCCUUGAACUUGGCGAUCGAGACCAUGCCCAUGAGUUUUGGGGCCAGGGGUUAUCAGGGAUUUUUCAAUAAGAGCAUUUAAAAAUUGGAAACACUUUCCUUACAUUGUUUCAGAUUGAAUCAAAGGGGCCGAUCUAAGACUACCUCUUGUUUGAUCUCUGCUUUAAUUGUUAUAUAUAUAUAUUUAUUGGUGAUAUGUCCUUUCUUUACAAACACAUCUCAAAUACUCUUCUUUUUUGACAUUUUGAAAAUAUUCCUUGAGUUGACAUGGAUUCUUGAUAAAAGAUUUUCUGUGAUGUUUUCUGUGCAUCUCGUGGAACAAAAAUCCUGCAUGAAAAGCAGCAGUUACAAUUGGUUUGUAUUAAUUUCUGUCCACACUAUCUCAGCCUCAGAGGAAAGCUAAGACACCCACUCCCUCUGAACAAAUCUGGCAAAGAACACCCUGUGGUAGGGUUAACUUAGUGUUGGCACAAGUUGGAAGCAACUUGGAGACAUAUCACAACAACAAUCUGUGCAUUCAAAUAUGUAGUGUACAUGUUUCCUAUUUUUCUUCUGUUUCAUGAAAUAGUAACAUUUCCAAAUUAUCGUUGCUCUUUGUAACAGCCAGUUUGGACAAUAAAUGGAUUAAUUGAUUACCUUCUCUGCCAUGUCUAACCCUAAUGUUCCUACUUUUUCCUGCAUCUUUCUUGCUGAAACAACUAUCUGGAAAAAUAAUGUUCACUUACUUCCCCACAGGUGUAAGAAGGAAAAAAUUGAGGUGCCUCGAGCUUUAUUUCUUCGUCAAUGGAAAUGUAUUGAACGUUUUGGUAAAAUCCACAAUAGAUUGCAAACUGACAUCAAUACAUUCAAAGCUACUAUAUUGCCACCGACCCCAGAAAUUCCAAAAGCAAAGCAAGACAGCAAUAUCUGCAAGGACAUGAAAAUUCCCUCACUGGUCGUGGAGCAUUUUCCAGGAAAUGAUGUACAAGUCACAACAUAUAGUAAACUGGCAAGUUUAAUGCCUAUCUGGGCCUUUCGGGCUCCUUCUGAAGAUUUCAAGUUGUCUUGCUUGUCUUAUACUAUGGGAUUUGAAAAAAUAACCUCAGGGUGUCAUUUCUGGCAGGUAGAAAUGGAGAAUGCAACAUUCUGGGCUGUAGGGGUGGCCAAAGAGUCCUUAAGGAAUAGCCAUGAUCAAGGGGUGCAAGAAGGAUACUGGUUUCAAGGCAUGCCAAGGUUCCCAUAUUAUCAAAGUGUGAAAGAAGGGAACUGGGCUAUAUGCCUUUAUUCUGAAAAUGGUACAUAUAAAUGGACUGCAUUCACCUCUCCUAAACUAUCUCUAGGACCAUGUCCCUUUAGAAAUACAAAACUCCAACCUGUCUGUUACACAAAUCCUGAUUUGAACAAGGAUAGAAAAAAGAAUAUCCGUGUGAUCCUGGACUAUGAAAACAGUUCAGUGAUUUUUACAGAUGAGUCUGAUAUGAUUUGCUCCUUUAACAAUGCUUCAUUUUCUGACGAGCCAAUCUCCUCCUGGGUCAGUGUGGGAAAAUGAGAUGAUAUUGGCGAGAAAGCAGGAAACCUCAAUUUGGAUUACGCCAAGCUGCUAUGAACGGGGUAGGGCAGUGAAGCUUAACUCUGUUUCUGCUCAUUGUUCCCAUAAUAACUUCCUUCCAUCUGUUUUCUCCUCUGUUCCAAUCCACGAGUCUCUCUAAGAGAAUGUGGAAUGAGUAUGGGCUUGGGGUUAGUUGGCAACUUUUUCAUAGUCACAUCAAGUUGCCACUUUCCUGAUUUAAUUUCUUUCCCCAAGAACCCAUAGUUCUUUUUGGAAAGAGGACUCAUAUAUGACCCACUUCAAAUGUCAUUGUUUGAAGCCUGCUGCAAAUUGCACUGUUACAAACUGCACUAGUACAAACUGGUGAAACGAAACACAUGACCCAUUUGGGCAAAUGCUAUAAUAUAUGACAACUGCUGCAAGAAUUAUAUAUACUUAGAGAUUGAAGAAACCAUUUAUCCCAAUACAAGAAGAAUUGCUAAUGAACAUAUGUGAAAUAGCUGAGAUAGAGAAAUCGCCUUUGCUGAUUAAGGAGAAAUCUUUAACUAACUUUGAGAAAGAUUGGGCCCUAUUCAUCACUUUUUCACGGCAGUGAUGGAGUCCUUGGUCUAUUGUGAAAUUUAUGAAUUAGUAGAGUUCUGCUUUAAGGGGAAGUGUGGUUACGUUAUUGUCUAAAGAGGGUGAAUGAAUAAGAGAUAAUAACCGUCAGCCAGAGGGUGAGAAGUUUGUAGAGAUUUUCAGUAGUUGUGGACAAAAUGUAGUUGUGUAGUUUUGGUAGCUUUAGAUAUCUAAAAUGCUUGUUUCUGUGUUUAUUAAAGAAAGCAUUGAUUAACCAUGUUCACCAUUGCAUAGUUAUCAUACCAAAACUAGACAUGUUUGUUUGCAAAUAUUGCAUGCCCCAUAGCUGCCAUCCCUAAGAUGGGACAAUGGGCCAGAUCUCAAGCUAAGUCCAACUUCACCCAGGCUGGCAGCCAUCAAUAGGCAUACCAGUGACCUAUGAAAUGUACGGCCAAACUCAAUGCUACCUAAUGCAUCCGAUGAACUUGCAGGUUCAUGCCUAUAUACAGCAGCUCUUGCCAGAGAGAAACCUUCUCAACAAAUCCUGGCAUACCUUUAGGUCAUCCUUAGUUUCUUUAAUGAUAUGAAUAGGGUGAUGAAGUGUUGAUUCUGAGUGGUGCAAUGUGGGGAGAGGAGACUACUCUCUGAAGUUGAGAUGUCCCAACAAUACCUGUAGCUCAGGUGGAAGUCAUUGUGCAUCACAUGCUAAUGUAUCCCCUGUGUAGUGAUCCCAGAUAAAGAUUUCUGAAACCCUUGCUGACACAUAGGAGUAGGAUCUCUCUUGUAGAGUGGCUUCAUUUUUUUUUGAUGAUUUCAAUGAUUAUGUAACAUAGUAUUUUGCUUUGGCUGAAAAACAGAACAUAAAAAGAGAUCUGGAUAAAACUGCCACAGAUUGCCAUGGAGGCCCAAAGUAUCAACUUCAUUUUUAUGUUGAAAUGCUCUUAUUCUUUAUAUGAGUUUGGUAAUAAUUCGGGCUACUAUCUUUUGUACUUUUUAUGUUGAAUGUUCUGUAAAUUGUAAUCCCUUUGACAUGGACAGUAGCUCACACAAUAAACAUAUUGGAUGCUA
Molecule: non-coding RNA, 3509 nt
Organism: Anolis sagrei ordinatus
Lineage: Eukaryota; Metazoa; Chordata; Lepidosauria; Squamata; Anolidae
Source: RefSeq, a predicted model, not a curated record